AUCCUACACUUCAACCAGGCAAUUUCAUAUUCAAUUAUAAAAAAAAUAAUUUCUGAGGGUUUAACAUUUUUACUGAAUUUGACAACCAAUAUUUCAAAGAAUUUUUAUACCCAAUUUACAAUAGUAGAGGGCAUAAAGUUUCCCGGUCUCUGCGUCCGUUUGUUUAUUUAUAGGUCCAUUCAGUCGUCCAUCUGUCUUAGUACACAUUUUCCCUAUGAAAUGAUCUUUCUAGUUUUAAUCUAUUAAUUAGAGUUUUGACCCAAAUUUCAGGUUCCACUGAACAUAAGAUAAGCCCA
Molecule: long non-coding RNA, 296 nt
Filed under: Mytilus galloprovincialis (Mediterranean mussel)
Lineage: Eukaryota; Metazoa; Mollusca; Bivalvia; Mytilida; Mytilidae
Source: RNAcentral